UUUCAGUGUCCCCAAUAUAGCCAUUUAAGAAAUAAAUUUAAUUUAAAAAAAAAGAAAUAAAAUACAAUUCAAGCAAAGGGCCUUUUGCUUCUAAGUAUUUAUAGAUUGAAUUUAAAUUGUUUUGUGAUUUAUUAUUAAUUGUUAUAUAAAUAUCAGUUUUCAUUAAGUAGAACAUUCAUCCUAAAUCCCACAACGAUUUAAAAUCUAUCCGGGGCAGGUCCAGGUGAGGGCGUAAUGGACGUAUGCCCCUCCCCCCCUUUAAAAAAAAAAAAAAAAAACUCGUUAUCUGAUAAUAUUGUAUUGAAUAUGGCAAUUUAUGCAUUUCACAAUUAUUUUAUGUUUUUUAGCAAAAAAAAGGUCCAAAAAUUUUUUAUACUCGCUCCGCUCGGCGAAAGAUUUGAUUCUACGCCCCCUCUUUCAAAUAUCCUAGAAAUGCCCUUGUCAUUCUGUAAAUAUUUCGAAACGAUCACCCCUCUGCUUAAUAUUCUCAUAGUAUCGGAUGAAUAUAAUUUUCGAUUUGAUCUGUCCGAUUAUGAUAGAUAGGUAAUGUAAUGAAUCAUUUAGGAUUCAGUUUUAUGAUUUAGUUAAUUUUUAUACGACUACAAAAAAAAUUUGCGGUCGAAUAUUGGUACCUUGUUGUCGUCCGUAGUCACUUAGUUUCAGGACAAUGUCUUUAGUGUAAGUGAAUGGAUCUCUAUGAAAUUUAAACACAAGGUUUGAAACCACAAAAGGAUGGUAGGGAUUGAUUUUGGGGGUUAUGGUCCCAACAGUUUAGGGAUUAAGGGCCUAUAAAGGGGUCCAAAUAAGCAUUUAUAUACGACCGCAAAAAAAAAUUUGUGGUCGUAUAUUGGUAUGACUUCGUCGUCGUCGUCGUCCAAAAACACAUUUGUUUUUCGCACUCUAACUUAAGUUUAAGUGAAUGGAUCUCUAUGAAAUUUUACCAUCAGGUUCAAUACCACAAAAGGAAGGUGGGGAUUGAUUUUGGGGGUUAUGGUACCAACAGUUAAGGAAUUAGGGGCCAAAAAUAAGCAUUUUGUAACUUCCAGACAUAACUUGUGUGUUAGUGUAUGGAUCUCUCUGACAUUGUUACACAAGGUUCCAUAUCACAAAGGGAAUGCUGGGAUUGAUUUUGGGGGUAAUUGCCUCCAAAUUUUAGGAAUUAGGGGCCAAAAAGGGGCAAAAACAAGCAUUUUUCUAGUUUUAUGACAAAAACUUGUGUGUAAGUGUAUGGAUCUCUCUGACAUUGUACCACAAGGUUCCAUAUCACAAAAGGGAAUGCGGGGAUUGAUUUUGGGGGUAAUUGCCUCCAAAUUUUAGGAAUUAGGGGCCAAAAAGGGGCAAAAAACAAGUAUUUUUCUAGUUCAUGACAAUAACUUGUGUGUAAGUGUAUGGAUCUUUAUGAAAUUGUACUACAAGGUUCCAUAUCACAAAGGGAAAGCUGGAAUUGAGUUUGGGGGUAAUUGCCAAAAACGUUUAGGAAAAAGGGGCCAAAAAUAAGCAUUUUUCUAGUUUCCAGACAAUAACUUGUGUUCAUGUGUAUGGAUCUCUCUGAAAUUGUACUGCAAGGUACCAUACCACAAAGGGAAGGCUGGGAUUGAUUUUGGGGGUAAUUAGGAAUUAGGGGCCAUAAAGGGGCAAAAAAACAAGCAUUUUUCUAGUUUCAGGACAAUAACUUGUGUGUAAGUGUAUGGAUCUUUAUGAAAUUGUAAUGCAAGGUUCCAUAUCACAAAGGGAAAGCUGGGUUUGAGUUUGGGGGUAAUUGCCCUAAACGUUUAGGAAUUUGGGGCCAAAAAGGGGGAAAAAAACAAGCAUUUUUCUAGUUUCCAGACAAUAACUUGUGUUCAAGUGUACGGAUCUCUCUAAAAUUGUACUGCAAGGUACCAUACCACAAAGGGAAGGCUGGGAUUGAGUUUGGGGGUGAUGAAUCAUAAGGGGGUUCAAAAAAUUUGGGGAGGGGGGAUUUUUUUUUCCUUUUUUUUUCUUUAAAAUUUUCAAUUUUAAAUUGGUUAUAUCUGAUUUAUAUAUAAAAGCAAAUAAUAAUGAUAUGGUUUGAAUACUAGGUAAAUUAAAAAAAUUAAAGUUCUUAGACUACAUUCAUUCUGUGUCAGAAACCUAUGCUGUGUCAAAUAUUUAAUUACAAUCCAAAUUCAGUGCUGUAUCAAGCUUGAAUGUUGUGUCCAUACUUGCCCCAACUGUUCAGGGUUCGACCUCUGCGGUCGUAUCAAGCUGCGCCCCAGCGGAGCAUUUUAUUCUAGUUUCCAGACAAUAACUUGUGUGUAAGUGUAUGGAACUUUCUGAAAUUGUACCACAAGGUUCCAUACCAAAAUGGAAGGUUGGUAUUGAUUUAGGGGUUAUGGCCCUAACUGUUAAGGAAUUAUGGUCCAAAAACAAUACUUUUCUAAUACUUUGUAUAAAUUGCUUAUUUCUUGACCAAUUUCAAUGGGGUUUUAUUAUUGAAUUCUUGGGUUUUUUAAUAUGCUGAAUCUUAACCAUGUAUUAAUUUUUUGGAUUUUGGGCCCCGUUUUUUAAAUUGGUCCACAUUGAGGUCCAAAGGGUCUAAAAUUAAACUUUGUUUGAAAAAUUGAAUUAUUGGGGUUCUUUGAUAUGCUGAAACUAACUGUGUAUUUCAAUUUUUAAUAUUUGGUCCCGUUUUCAAAUUGGUCUACAUAAAGGUGUAGGGUUCAAAUUUAACUUAGUUUCAUUUUAACAAAAAUUGAAUUCUUAGGGUUCUUUGAUAUGCUGAAUCUAAACAUGUAUUUAGAUUUUUUAUUAUUAAUAGUUUUCAAGUUGGUCUAAAUCAGGGUCCAAAAUUAAACUUUGUAUUACUUAUAAA
Mytilus californianus (California mussel) is the source of this 2833-nucleotide long non-coding RNA. RefSeq lists it as uncharacterized. The transcript has 2 exons. The record is from RefSeq and is a predicted model, not a curated record. NCBI's taxonomy places the organism in Eukaryota, Metazoa, Mollusca, Bivalvia, Mytilida, Mytilidae.